AUUGAACGCUGGCGGCAUGCCUUACACAUGCAAGUCGAACGGCAGCACGGGGGCAACCCUGGUGGCGAGUGGCGAACGGGUGAGUAAUGCAUCGGAACGUGCCCUGAAGUGGGGGAUAACGUAGCGAAAGUUACGCUAAUACCGCAUAUUCUGUGAGCAGGAAAGCAGGGGAUCGCAAGACCUUGCGCUUUAGGAGCGGCCGAUGUCGGAUUAGCUAGUUGGUGGGGUAAAAGCUCACCAAGGCGACGAUCCGUAGCGGGUCUGAGAGGAUGAUCCGCCACACUGGGACUGAGACACGGCCCAGACUCCUACGGGAGGCAGCAGUGGGGAAUUUUGGACAAAUGGGCGCAAGCCUGAUUCAGCCAUGCCGCGUGAGUGAAGAAGGCCUCGGUUGUAAG
Molecule: ribosomal RNA, 398 nt
Filed under: uncultured bacterium
Lineage: Bacteria
Description: bacterial SSU rRNA
Rfam family: Bacterial small subunit ribosomal RNA
Source: RNAcentral